This 225-nucleotide ribosomal RNA is filed under the name uncultured Actinomycetales bacterium. RNAcentral's name for it is "partial 16S ribosomal RNA". It matches the Rfam family "Bacterial small subunit ribosomal RNA", at positions 105 to 334 of the family's 1533-position model. Lineage: Bacteria; Bacillati; Actinomycetota; Actinomycetes; Actinomycetales. The record is from RNAcentral.
GGUAGUAACACGUGGGUGAUCUGCCCUGCACUCUGGGAUAAGCCUGGGAAACUGGGUCUAAUACCGGAUAGGACCAUGCUUUAGUGUGUGUGGUGGAAAGUUUUUUCGGUGUAGGAUGAGCCCGCGGCCUAUCAGCUUGUUGGUGGGGUAAUGGCCUACCAAGGCGGCGACGGGUAGCCGGACUGAGAGGUUGGUCGGCCACAUUGGGACUGAGAUACGGCCCAG